AUGAAGCUCCUUUGUUGGAACAUUAGGGGCUUUGACCUCACUGGCUGGCGGCGGCAGCUCAUAGAGUAUUUGCGACAAGAAGAGAUUGACAUUAUGGGACUUCAGGAGAUGAUUCGCAAGGACUUUAGUAUGCAUGAGCUCCAAGGGCUCUCUCGCCACUAG
RNAcentral lists this ribosomal RNA (162 nucleotides) under Triticum aestivum (bread wheat). RNAcentral describes it as "partial small subunit ribosomal RNA". The record is from RNAcentral. Lineage: Eukaryota; Viridiplantae; Streptophyta; Magnoliopsida; Poales; Poaceae.